This 76-nucleotide transfer RNA is filed under the name Halobacillus naozhouensis. RNAcentral's name for it is "tRNA-Lys". It matches the Rfam family "tRNA". From Rfam's summary of the family: Transfer RNA (tRNA) molecules are approximately 80 nucleotides in length. Their secondary structure includes four short double-helical elements and three loops (D, anti-codon, and T loops). Further hydrogen bonds mediate the characteristic L-shaped molecular structure. tRNAs have two regions of fundamental functional importance: the anti-codon, which is responsible for specific mRNA codon recognition, and the 3' end, to which the tRNAs corresponding amino acid is attached (by aminoacyl-tRNA synthetases). tRNAs cope with the degeneracy of the genetic code in two manners: having more than one tRNA (with a specific anti-codon) for a particular amino acid; and 'wobble' base-pairing, i.e. permitting non-standard base-pairing at the 3rd anti-codon position. Lineage: Bacteria; Bacillati; Bacillota; Bacilli; Caryophanales; Bacillaceae. The record is from RNAcentral. RNAcentral also lists the same sequence under 3 other names.
GAGCCAUUAGCUCAGUUGGUAGAGCAUCUGACUUUUAAUCAGAGGGUCGGAGGUUCGAGCCCUCCAUGGCUCACCA